Hordeum vulgare subsp. vulgare (domesticated barley) is the source of this 163-nucleotide long non-coding RNA. RefSeq lists it as uncharacterized. The transcript is spliced from 3 exons. NCBI's taxonomy places the organism in Eukaryota, Viridiplantae, Streptophyta, Magnoliopsida, Poales, Poaceae. The record is from RefSeq and is a predicted model, not a curated record.
CAAGGAUGCCCAGCAGAAGCAGCGCCUGAAAACCAAGUCUGCUAUUGCUUUGCGUGGUGGUGAUAUCAAAGAAGUGCGGUUUAAGGCGAAAACUGAAAUUAAAGACAUGAAGGUGAAAGCAGAUGCAAUUACCAGGCUGAUGGAGCAUGGAUACAAGGUGAAG